UGAACUCACAGAGACUGAGGCAGCAUGCAUGGGGCCUGUACAGGACACUUCUGUCUAGAUAUUACAUCACUGUUGGAUAGUUGGUUCAUUUCACAAUAAGGUGGAGAUCAUCAAAGAUCUGUCAAAUUUACCUCAAUUUUUUUGACUAAGACAAGACAAAAGAUCCUCUGGUAUCUCUCACAUGCUCAUUAUGAAACAGAAAAAGACACAGGGAAGCUGUGUGAGCAUCUGUUGAAGGAGCUGUGAGAAAUGUGAAGACUUCUAGAGCUCCAACCCACAGCAUCUCCUUUGCCUCUAAUACUGCAUGCAAACUUGCUUUGUAGAAAGAAGUAUGACAAAAGGUAACUAUAGUCUUCAACACUCAUGAAAAAGGCUUCUGUUUGCAACAGACAGAGACCAUCACAAAGCAACAACAAAUCCACCACAACUGGUCAAAAUGUGGAGAAAAUGCAUUAUGUGGUACCCAGCACCAGUGGAUACAACUAGAAAACAACCCCUACCUCUAAGACUCAAGGAACACCAUGGAAAGGGGGAAGAGUUAAAAUUUUAAGAGCCAGAAGACUAAGAAAUCUGUAAGAGGGUGUCUCCUAACAAUGACAGUUAAGCUCUGGCAAUAAUAGCUCAAAAGUAUGGCUGCCUAAACAACCACUGGACAAGGACAACAUGGAUAUUCAACAUUGACAUGCAAACAUGGAAGAGGGAAAGCUCACAGCCCCACCCCAUGAGCUAAAGGCAAAGAAAGUACGCUGAAAGUGGAAGGAGUAGUCUUCCCACUGCGGAGCGUUUGAAUUGGUUAACCAAUACCAAGCGUCAGUCCUGAAAUCAUGCACAUUCAACACUAAAUGGACUCAUCAGGUUAUACCCAUAUAUCUAUGUGUAUAUGUACAGAUACAUAUUACAGAUACACAUAUUACAUGUGCAUGUAUGUACACAUAACAGAUAAGAGAAGACCAUGAGUUUGGAAGGGGAUGGAGCAUAAGAAAAUUGGAUUAAGCCAGGCAGUAAUGGCACAUGUCGUUAAUCCCAGCACAUGGGAAGCAGAGGCAAGUGGAUCUUUGUGAGUUCGAGGCCAGCCUAGUCUGCAGAGA
Peromyscus leucopus (white-footed mouse) is the source of this 1088-nucleotide long non-coding RNA. RefSeq lists it as uncharacterized. The record is from RefSeq and is a predicted model, not a curated record. Lineage: Eukaryota; Metazoa; Chordata; Mammalia; Rodentia; Cricetidae. The transcript has 5 exons.